AGCUGUAAUUAGUCAGUUUUCU
RNAcentral lists this microRNA (22 nucleotides) under Homo sapiens (human). RNAcentral describes it as "hsa-miR-1537-5p". Lineage: Eukaryota; Metazoa; Chordata; Mammalia; Primates; Hominidae. The record is from miRBase by way of RNAcentral.